Hydra vulgaris (swiftwater hydra) is the source of this 525-nucleotide non-coding RNA. NCBI's taxonomy places the organism in Eukaryota, Metazoa, Cnidaria, Hydrozoa, Anthoathecata, Hydridae. The record is from RefSeq and is a predicted model, not a curated record.
UUAUGCAGAAAUUAUUCCAGUUUUAUUAGAAACAACAAUUUCGAAGCAAAUAAUUGCAUACUGCAAGCUGACUGGCAAACGCAUUGACAUUAUAGGUGAGACAGAUACUGAAGGGAAUACUCUAUCAAAUAAGUAAAUAUUCUUUAGAUAAUCUCAAACGAAAAAGUUACAUUUAAUAAAUCUUAUUUAAUAAAUCUUGCCAACUACGGGAAAAUAUCUUGUUUCAGCAAGUGCAGCAAUGGUUUUCCUAAUCGAAGAUCUAAAGGGUAGCGAGACUCUUGAAAUGUUUUUUAAUUGCUCAAAUCCAAAACAGCAUCUAUUCAUUUUAUCGUGUGGACUGUCUUUUUUCGUUGAUAGAAAAGUAAUUGUAGUUAAACCUCCAAAAUUUUCUGUUGCCUUUGACUUGGCAUAUAUAUACUUGUUCUAAUGGUUCAAAUGUCGCCAUUUUUAGUAAUGCAUCAUCUUCAAGUAUAAUGAAAAAAAAAAAGACUUGGAGCUUUCAAUCUAAGUCUUGAUAAUACUGAA